AAUAUAGUUUUAUAAAUAGUGGAGGUUGGGGUAAAAGCAUGUAAAGGGAAAGGCUAAGGUUGUUUAUUUCAGUUCCAAUGGUGGAACUAGAGACCGACCGUCCCUAGAGCAAGUGGGAAAGGGCUCGGUGGUUGGUAUUCGAGACCUAAAUUCGAAUCCUAGCUAGUUGAUUCACAUUUCUAGCUAAGUUUAUUUCUAAAUAAAAUAAACGAAGCAGGUAGCGUGCUACCUAUCUCUCAAAAAAAAAAAAAAUGGUGGAGCUAGAGAAUAUUUAU
This 275-nucleotide long non-coding RNA is filed under the name Ananas comosus (pineapple). RNAcentral describes it as "long non-coding RNA (ACOM_LNC023433)". The record is from RNAcentral. Lineage: Eukaryota; Viridiplantae; Streptophyta; Magnoliopsida; Poales; Bromeliaceae.